GACGUAGGGCGCGAGCGUUGUCCGGAUUUACUGGGCGUAAAGGGCGCGUAGGCGGAUAGUUUAGUCAGAGGUGAAAGCCCAGGGCUCAACCUUGGAAUUGCCUUUGAUACUGGCUAUCUUGAGUUCGGGAGAGGUGAGUGGAAUGCCGAGUGUAGAGGUGAAAUUCGUAGAUAUUCGGCGGAACACCAGUGGCGAAGGCGACUCACUGGCCCGAUACUGACGCUGAGGCGCGAAAGCGUGGGGAGCAAACAGG
RNAcentral lists this ribosomal RNA (253 nucleotides) under uncultured bacterium. Its description in RNAcentral is "partial 16S ribosomal RNA". It matches the Rfam family "Bacterial small subunit ribosomal RNA", at positions 524 to 776 of the family's 1533-position model. The record is from RNAcentral.